GUGAGGAAUAUUGGUCAAUGGGCGAAAGCCUGAACCAGCCAUGUCGCGUGAAGGAUGAAGGUCCUAUGGAUUGUAAACUUCUUUUGCAGGAGGGUAAAGUGAGCUACGUGUAGUUCAUUGCAAGUACCCUGCGAAUAAGCAUCGGCUAACUCCGUGCCAGCAGCCGCGGUAAUACGGAGGAUGCGAGCGUUAUCCGGAUUUAUUGGGUUUAAAGGGUGCGUAGGCGGACUAAUUAGUCAGCGGUGAAAUUUUGCGGCUCAACCGUAAAACUGCCGUUGAAACUGUUAGUCUUGAGUGCGGUAGAGGUAGGCGGAAUGUGUGGUGUAGCGGUGAAAUGCUUAGAUAUUACAUGGAAUACCAAUUGCGAAGGCAGGUUACUACUUGUGGAUUGACGCUGAUGGACGAAAGCGUGGGGAGCGAACAGGAUUAGAUACCCGGGUAGUCC
RNAcentral lists this ribosomal RNA (445 nucleotides) under uncultured bacterium. RNAcentral's name for it is "partial 16S ribosomal RNA". It matches the Rfam family "Bacterial small subunit ribosomal RNA", at positions 354 to 796 of the family's 1533-position model. The record is from RNAcentral.